This is a long non-coding RNA of Ananas comosus (pineapple), 811 nucleotides long. RefSeq lists it as uncharacterized. The record is from RefSeq and is a predicted model, not a curated record. Lineage: Eukaryota; Viridiplantae; Streptophyta; Magnoliopsida; Poales; Bromeliaceae. The transcript is spliced from 3 exons.
AAUAAGAUAAUUAAAAUCCAAGAUAAUUAAAAAAGUAUUUAGAUCUUAACACGGGAGAAUAUUACAAGCUCUCAACAAAUAUAAUAAUUAAAUUAAUAUUAAAUUAUUUUUUAAUUAUCCCAAUUAAUUAGCAACCAUGAGUGUUCUCACAAUGUAGAGGUUCAGAUGUCUGAUCCUCUUCAUCAACCCAGCGCCCCAGCUUCAUCAAUUGAUAACCCACGCCCUCUCUCUCUCCACUCCCAUGUAAACCCACGCACUUCAUCAACCCGGAGCUCGAUCCCCUUCAUCGCACGCCCCAGCUUCAUCAACCCGGCGCUCGAUCGAGGCGAAAAACUGCGAUUUUCUUAUUUCGGAGAUCGAGUGAGAGCGAACGAUCAAGCGAAGUAGAGAGAGAGAGAGAGAGAGAGAGAGAGAGUUCGAUUUUUCGAUCUGCGUCCAAAUGUCGCGAAGCCAUUCGAAUCGAGGGUGAUUCCACAGUGAUUCGAUGAUCUGAUAGGUGAUUGCGGAAUUAGCAAAAAGUGGUGAGAUUCAAGCUACUGUCCUGUUGCAUCCUUUACUCAAGGAUGAAUAUUGUCUGACAUAUACUAUUUUGGUGGGAAUCCUGAAGCAGUUGAGCUCUGCUCAUAUAACUCUUUUCAUCACAUUUUGUCUGCGGCUACAUAUACAUUACCGGAGGGCAUUCGUUUAAACUGAAAACACUAUAUACGCUAUACGAUUAAUAAUUCAUUGUGAAUAAAAAAGUGAUGAAAUUUUUGUUUGUUCCUAUUAUUCCCUGCUUAUACAAUAGUAGAGAAUUUUUGAUUUCUUGAUU